AGGGUGCAAAAGCCUAGCCAAAAAUGGCCUGGCCCAAGAAUAAUUGGAUCCAACAUAUAGAAAUAAGAUAUUACUCCAGCAAUUACGAAAGUAACCAGAAGCUUGUAGCUCUCUUGUCCAAAUCCCAUCAAAUCUAUCCAAAAUGAAUCCCAAAAAUCAUUGAACCAUUCUCAAGAAGAUGUUUCUCAUUUGUAUAUGCAUUCAACUCUUAAACUUGCAUCUGCGAUUCAACUUAAAGCUUGAUCUACCAUAAUAGCUUCGACUCAUAAAGUGACUUUGGAAGAGCCAAAUUUGAGGAUGAAAGGCAAAUCCAUCUUCUCUUAUCAACUCUUCAUUCAAAUUACCAGUAGAAAUAGUAUUGUUGACAUAAUGAAACCUUAAGCAGUAUCUACGUCUUGAUUUCGUACCUUUGAACACCCCAAGCUCUCACCAGGUUUAUUCUCUGUUGCUGCUUCAAUCUCCAGUCUGUGUGUGGGAAUAUUGUGAAUGGCCUUACUUGGGGAUUCAAUGUGUCAACUUGGAGUGUUGUUGGAAAUUCCAUGAUAGCCAUGUUGUCUAUACAUUGAUGAUCUCCUUUCUUCUCCCUAACCUCAUGAUGACCAGCUGGAACCUGUAUACUUGUAGUAUCAAUUACUUUUGUUGUUGGAGUUGUGUUCUGAAUGUGAUCCACAUGAAUGGUAUUAUUUGCACCCUCUGUUGUCAUAGUUGUGUCUGGAGAAGUGUGGGUAUGAUUUACUUGGGAUUUUUCCCUAACAAUUUUCGUACGGAUACUAUUCUAAUACAAUUUAAAAAUUAGUCAAA
Long non-coding RNA from Capsicum annuum, 801 nucleotides. RefSeq lists it as uncharacterized. NCBI's taxonomy places the organism in Eukaryota, Viridiplantae, Streptophyta, Magnoliopsida, Solanales, Solanaceae. The record is from RefSeq and is a predicted model, not a curated record. The transcript has 3 exons.